This 5352-nucleotide long non-coding RNA is filed under the name Marmota monax (woodchuck). The stretch from base 1260 to 1350 matches the Rfam family "mir-345 microRNA precursor family". The record is from RNAcentral. Lineage: Eukaryota; Metazoa; Chordata; Mammalia; Rodentia; Sciuridae.
CCGUAGUGCCGCAGACAAAGAGUGUGCUUCACGCGCCCGCCCGCGCCGCUCGGAGGGAGGAAGCGCGGUGAGUGCCGUGGCGACUGCCGGGGCCGAUAACCUUCUGGGAGCCGGCCGCCAGCGGGAUGCAAGGACCUCAGCUAGUGUGCCACGCGGGCCAGCUAUGCAGGGGACAGGGCCUGGGAAACUUCGACCUGGGUUCGUUUCCGAGUCUGCCGCGGGACCUCAGCGUCCUCGCCUGUUUAAUGGGACACUGCCGUGAAAACGGACAUGCAACGCCGGGACCUUCCGAGGCCUGCAGGCCCGAGCACGACUAGUCGAGAAACUCCUUGGGCGGCGAAAGGGCGCCCUCGUAGCGCUCUCGCCUGUCCUGCCUGCGCGCCCACCUGGAGGUGGCCUCUGGGGCUUCCGGUCUCCGGAGAACACGCGGGAAUGAGAGGGUCUGAGCGCGCCGCGCGCUUCCGGCAGGGCCGGGCGCUGUGCUGGGUGAGAGGAGACCGAACUUCAAAGCAGGCGGGCAGAGGGGCGAGGGGCUCCGCCAAGCCCCGGGGCCCUCACCUUCCGGCGGGCUGAGGGAGGGCUCGCCGGAGCAGCGCCAGGCUGCGAGGGAGGUGCCGGGACCCGCUGAGAACUUCCGGGCCCUGCGGGCCUGGUGGCGGGGACUCCAGCCACAGUGCAGAGGUGCGCAAGUCGGGCCCGGGCGACUCUGGGGAGGGGACCCCGAGCUGGACCCGUGGGCCUCGGAGCAGAGAGCGGGGCUGAGGGCAGGGAGUGUGCGGAUGCCCCGGAGUUCGAGCCCGUGGUCGUGGCGGGUAGCUGUGGGGUAGGGUGGUGGGGAGAGCUGAGCGGACGUGGCCCACCCGUCUCCUGACGUUCGCGGUGGGCGGGGCCCCUUGGUCCUUGCAGCGUCCUGUGGGCGACUUCUCCCUGCCCUUCCCCAGGGCCUCAGGGCGGUUUAGACUGUCCUCCUGGAUCCGGCCAGGCCUGAGACUUCUUCACUGUGGGGCCGACUUUCCUCCUUUAGGGCCUCCGGCAAGACCCUGUGCCACGUUUCGCCGCCCUUUUCGUCCUGUGUUGCCAGGUUCUGCAGUACAGCCACUGAUUGCAGUGAAUGCGUGUCCGUGGAGGGACCUUACCUGGGGAGGAUGCCAGCGUCUGUCACUGGUGAAACUUGGUGAUACAGAAGCCAGGGGAUUCCACUGCUCCUGUGUGUUUCAGUUUAUCCUUAGGAUCUAAAUUUAACCAUCGUUAAGCAGAGACCCAAACCCCAGGGCUGCUGACUCCUAGUCCAGUGCUCGUGAUGGCUGGUGGGCCCUGAACUAGGGGUCUGGAGGCCUAGGUUUGAAUAUCACCAGCCUUCGACCCAGCCAGGUGGCUCAUGGGAUGCGUUGGGGAGACUGUGAAAGGUCGGAGCACAACAAGACACUGAGUCAGGAAAAAAUAUUACAUAAAAACUGAUAAGACAAGGACAGUCUGUUUUGCUUUAUUUUUUAAGAGAACAUGUGUGCCUUUAAGUGGGUACUGUGCCUGGGGUGGUAGCACUGAGCUCUGCCUCCCUGGGGGUCUUGGGAAGGGGCCAAGCAGCAGCCUGGUACACAGUAGACAAACCAUGGCUGAGCUCAGAAACCCUGCAGGGAGGCCUCAUGGGAGCCCCCUGCAAGGAUCCAGGUGAGGCCUGCAGGCCUCUAGCUGUGGCCCUGCCAGGACAGCAGGACAGUGGGGGUGGGCUGGUGGUGGGGAACAGCAUUCUGCCUAGGGCCAGUCAGCAGGGGAGAGGUGGGGGUGGGAGGCACUUAAGGUGGGACCAGGAUCUGACCUGCUUACCUCAGGUGCCCCGGGGCCUCUUGGUGGGCACUGGGUAGGGGACUGGGGGUAGGUACUGAGAUGGGCUUUGUGAAUCACCUCCCUAAAGAGUCCCUGUUGCCCGAGAAUUCUUCAUCCUGGCGUGGCUGUGCCUGGUGCUGGGGACACAACAGACAGCAGUCUUCCACCUCCUUGGCCUCCGUGUGGUUGGAGAGAGAGAGAGAGCAAGCAGAAGGCAACACCGAGUAACCGGAUGGACAUGUGCUGCCGCACAGAGCCUGCCUUUCACUCCCAGGACCAGAGGGAGGCUGGAAGCGGAACUGUCUCAGGGGAUGAGUCAGGUCACUGAUAAGGGUGGAUUUUUAUUUGGUAAUUUAUUUUAUCAUUUCUUACACAAGACAGUGGGGAAACAGCCAUCAGCAGGCAGAAAGGAAAAGCAAGUCCUCUGCUCUCCGGGCUCUGGAAUCUAUUGAAUUAAAUGAGAAGUGGGCUGUCAGUUGGUUCCCAUCUCAGUGCCAUGAGCCCCUGAGGCCCAGGGUGACCUGGCUACAGCCUCACUGCUUGUCUUUCAUCCCCUAAUUGCUCCACUCAGGUUUGCACUCCCACCUCAGGGCCUUUGUACUGGCUGCUCCUGUACCCGCUCCUGGGAAGCUCAUUCCCCAUCCCCCAACCUUGCAUAGAUCUAUCUCCAGAACUUCCUUUGUCCCCUCAGAAGGAGCUUGGCUAACCCUCUGCUGUGAUCUUCGUGUUCAUGUGUUGAAAUCCUACCCUCCAACAUGAUGGCAUUAGGAAGAGAGCCUCUGCAGGCUUGACAGCUGACCCUUCUCCGGGGACAUGUGGCUUGUGAGAGAAACACAAGGGAUGGUUCCAGUUUUUCUAAGAUGUAUUUUAAGAAUUAAAAACAUCAGGAACAGAGUGCCCCCCUGCUGAACUGCGUUCCACCAUGGUGGGGAGGGUACUGAGCAGGACGCCUGGGGGAGGCUUGUCCUGUGGCUUUGAUGAUGGCGUCUGUCCUCAUUUGACUUCUGCUGUGGAAUCAGCUACCCCUUGGGCCCUGCAGGGCUGAGUCAUGUCUUAGGGAAACAGCUAAGAGGCACAGUCCCAGGCCCCACCCCAAAACUAAGGAGACAGCCCCCACGAGCAGGUAGGAUGCAUCUGCAUUUAAGCCAACAUUUUCCCUAAGGGGCUUUAGCACUCAGGUUCAGUGUCUUCAAAGAUCUCAGCUCAGACCCUUCCUGCAGGUCUUUGCUUUAGAUUGUGUGGGACGGGGUCUGGGAGGAUUCUGGUGCCCAGCAGUACCCUGCCCUGGUUCUGUGCUUCCAUGGCAAAACGGUUCUGGCUUUGUGGGAAAUGAAGAUAGGAGUUUAUUUGAUAAACCAGCUAAAUUACUAAGGGUUUUUUUUUUUUUUUCCUUAGCUCCAAAGUUGCCACCAGCCUGUGGGAUAAUAGCAUUUCUGUCAGUUUCCCCUUAGGUGAGCUGCAGGCCCCUGGCAUGCUCCAGUGCCUCUCAGAACUCCACUUGGCUUUAGGGGGCCAGGAGGCCAGAGCGAGAUGACCAGAAACUCCAUGUUUUGAUUGAUGGUGUGGGGACCAGACUCGGGUGCUUUAGCACUGAGCUACAUCCCCAGGCCUUUUUAUUCUUUGAGACAGGGUCUGUCCACUUUGCUGAGGCUGGCUUCGAACUUGCAGUCCUGCCUCAGCCCCCAGGCUUGUGCCACUCCAUCUGGCCAGAAACUCAAGGUGGGAAUUGAUAUGAAUAGAUGUGCCAAAUGCUUCUCAAAUAAAAAUAGAGCUUUAGGGGUCUGCAGGCCAACCGGUCAGGGUGUGGGCUGGACUGGAGGAGCUCAGCCACUUAUUUGUGGACAGGAUACUUGCUACCCAUCUGGUCCCACCUUCAUGCUUUCUGAGGAUCCUACAGACAGUGGCAAAUGUUGGAAGCUCAGGCUGUCCCAGGCCAACAGGCCUCUGAGGGCAGGGGCCACAGGAGGGCACUGUGCUCCUGCCUGGCCUAGGUUGGUGCUUGGUAGGGCAAGUGGAGUUGGCAUCCUGGGAAGGAGGGAGAGGGAGGGGCAGCUGGCAGGGAGACACUGUGUGCCAGGCACAGAGCCCAUCAGGGCCAGGCAUGGUCACAGCAGGCAUGCCCUGCAGCUGGAGACAGGCAGCCCCUGAGACUGGCAGAGAAAAGGCUCCGGAGAAGUGCCCUCAACGUCCUGCAACCUAGCAACUCUGAAUGUUCCAGAAUCCUGGAGUGGAUUUCAGGUUCCAGUCUGUGGCCUGUGCCGCCUUCCCCAGCUACACCCUGCCAGGCCUUAAGCCACUCAGUGAGACUCUAAAUAAAUACAAAUAGGGCUGGGGUGUGGCUCAGUUGUCCGAGUUCAACCCCUGGUACCAAAAAAUAAAAGGCCAGACCAGCGACGUCCUCCUCUGUCCUCCUCGGGUGGUGGACAGGGAGGAAGUCUUCUCUCCUGCAGCCAGUCUCCUGUGCCACCCCCUUCCUGCAUGGGGCUCUGUCCUGUCCUUGGUCUCCUAAGUGCCUGACCUCUAGCUUCUGUGUCACAGCAGGGGGCACCCACAUUGGGCUUGUCCUAGUGCAGGGCACAGGCAGCUCCUCCUCGACCUUUCCCUGACCCUUUCCCUGCGUCACUGAAUGCGGAGUGCCUGCUCACCAGCCGGCUGGGUGGCCCUGGGGUUCCUAUCAGGGCUGCUUCCCUACCCACCUGGUUCAGGACAUCCUGCCUCCCUGGCAUUGGCCCUCCUUCACCUGCCACUGCCCAGCAGCCUCCACCUGCACUACAGGGUGUGUCCACACACUCCACUCCAGUGUCCCAAGCCUUCCCAGUCCCAGCUGGCCUUGGCUCACCAGGCCACUCUGCCAGUCAGGCCACACUGGGGUGCUCUCCUGCUGCCUGCCAGGAAGGCCUGCCCCCCUCAGAAGGGGCUCAGUGGUCUCCUUCCCGAAGCCUCCAGGGCAGCUGCAGACCGACAGGCUUCUGGACCCUCACGGGGACUGCCACAGCCUUUCCUGGCUCUUUAUGGCAGCUUGAUUCCUGUGUUCCUGCUUCACAAGGUGGAGUCGUCCCCUCCCCCCACUGGGCCUGGUGACACCCUAGUGAACACAGAGGCCGCACAGCGGAGUCCUGAGGGCCAGCUGGGUGCCCCCUGCCUGCUCUAGGGGAAGUCAGGUGCCUGCUGGGAGGCUACUCCAGCCCUGUGCAGGGGGGUUAGGGUGUGGCUUCAGGUCACUGAGUGAGUCACCCUAGUCAAGCCUUCAGUGACUGCAGCCUCACAGAGACCACACAGAGCCACCCAGCUGAGCUUCCUCAGGGACCUGACCCUCAGACAUUGUCAGAGAAUGAAUGUAUGAUGUUUUCAAGAAAAGCAUUUUAGGGCUGGGGAUGUGGCUCAAGCGGUAGUGCGCUCGCCUGGCAUGCGUGCAGCCCGGGUUCGAUCCUCAGCACCACAUACAAACAAAGAUGUUGUGUCCGCCGAAAACUAAAAAUAAAUAAAUAAAUAUUAAAAUUCUCUAUCUCUCUCCCUCUCUGUUUAAAA